UACCAGACUCCUACGGGAGGCAGCAGUGAGGAAUAUUGGUCAAUGGGCGGGAGCCUGAACCAGCCAAGUCGCGUGAGGGAUGACGGCCCUAUGGGUUGUAAACCUCUUUUGUCGGAGAACAAAACCCGGGACGUGUCCCGGACUGCGUGUAUCCGAAGAAAAAGCAUCGGCUAACUCCGUGCCAGCAGCCGCGGUAAUACGGAGGAUGCGAGCGUUAUCCGGAUUUAUUGGGUUUAAAGGGUGCGUAGGCGGUCCGUUAAGUCAGCGGUAAAAUUGCGGGGCUCAACCCUGUCGAGCCGUCGGAACUGGCAGUCUUGAGUGGGCGAGAAGUAUGCGGAAUGCGUGGUGUAGCGGUGAAAUGCAUAGAUAUCACGCAGAACGCCGAUUGCGAAGGCAGCAUACCGGCGCCCAACUGACGCUGAGGCACGAAAGCGUGGGGAUCGAACAGGAUUAGAUACCCUAGUA
RNAcentral lists this ribosomal RNA (465 nucleotides) under uncultured bacterium. RNAcentral's name for it is "bacterial SSU rRNA". It matches the Rfam family "Bacterial small subunit ribosomal RNA", at positions 329 to 792 of the family's 1533-position model. The record is from RNAcentral.